UACAGAGGUCUCAAGCGUUGUUCGGAUUCAUUGGGCGUAAAGGGUGCGUAGGCGGCGCGGUAAGUCGGGUGUGAAAUCUCGGGGCUUAACUCCGAAACUGCAUUCGAUACUGCCGUGCUUGAGGACUGGAGAGGAGACUGGAAUUCAUGGUGUAGCAGUGAAAAUGCGUAGAGAUCAUGAGGAAGACCAGUGGCGAAGGCGGGUCUCUGGGCAGUAACUGACGCUGAGGAGCGAAAGCGUGGGGAGCGAACAGG
Molecule: ribosomal RNA, 254 nt
Filed under: uncultured bacterium
Lineage: Bacteria
Description: partial 16S ribosomal RNA
Rfam family: Bacterial small subunit ribosomal RNA
Source: RNAcentral